GCGCAGCCCGACUUGAGCGGAAAUCCUUUUUUGCUUCUUCUCAGUUUCUAUUGAACUAGAAAUGUUGUGCAAAAAAGAUUGGGAGCGGAAGGCGGAUUAAGC
RNAcentral lists this small RNA (102 nucleotides) under Epilithonimonas lactis. Its description in RNAcentral is "Chryseobacterium halperniae Flavo-1 RNA". The record is from RNAcentral. Lineage: Bacteria; Pseudomonadati; Bacteroidota; Flavobacteriia; Flavobacteriales; Weeksellaceae.